This 329-nucleotide ribosomal RNA is filed under the name uncultured eukaryote. Its description in RNAcentral is "partial 18S ribosomal RNA". It matches the Rfam family "Eukaryotic small subunit ribosomal RNA", at positions 1470 to 1796 of the family's 1831-position model. The record is from RNAcentral.
CCCUUAGAUGUCCUGGGCCGCACGCGCGUUACACUGAUGCAUUCAACGAGCUUAUAACCUUGGCCGAGAGGCCUGGGCAAUCUUGUUAACGUGCAUCGUGAUAGGGAUAGAUUAUUGAAAUUAUUAAUCUUGAACGAGGAAUUCCUAGUAAACGCAGAUCAUCAAUCUGCAUUGAUUACGUCCCUGCCCUUUGUACACACCGCCCGUCGCUCCUACCGAUUGAAUGGUCCGGUGAAGCGUUUGGACUAUGGUUUUCUGACGGUUCGCCAUUGGAUUACCGUGGGAAAUUCGUUAAACCUUAUCAUUUAGAGGAAGGAGAAGUCGUAACA